Molecule: ribosomal RNA, 422 nt
Filed under: uncultured eukaryote
Lineage: Eukaryota
Description: SSU rRNA
Rfam family: Eukaryotic small subunit ribosomal RNA
Source: RNAcentral
CAAUAGCGUAUAUUAAAGUUGUUGCGGUUAAAAAGCUCGUAGUUGGAUUUCUGCCGAGGACGACCGGUCCGCCCUCUGGGUGAGUAUCUGGCUCGGCCUGGGCAUCUUCUUGGAGAACGUAUCUGCACUUGACUGUGUGGUGCGGUAUCCAGGACUUUUACUUUGAGGAAAUUAGAGUGUUUCAAGCAGGCCCACGCCUUGAAUACAUUAGCAUGGAAUAAUAAGAUAGGACCUCGGUUCUAUUUUGUUGGUUUCUAGAGCUGAGGUAAUGAUUAAUAGGGAUAGUUGGGGGCAUUCGUAUCAACACGUCAGAGGUGGAAUUCUUGGAUUGUGUUGCGACGAACUACUGCGAAAGCAUCUGCCAUGCAUGUUUUCAUUGAUCAAGAACGAAAGUAAGGGGAUCGAAGAUGAUUAGAUACCGU